Molecule: long non-coding RNA, 313 nt
Organism: Sapajus apella (tufted capuchin)
Lineage: Eukaryota; Metazoa; Chordata; Mammalia; Primates; Cebidae
Exons: 2
Source: RefSeq, a predicted model, not a curated record
AGAAAAAUAGAAUCCAGAUGACUGAUCUCAUUUUAUAUUUACAACCACAGAUAUCUGAAUGACCUACUAUAUCUCCCUACUUAAUUUAUCUACCAUUCAGAGAUAACUAUUUCACACAUUUUCUCUCCACAAACCUCCCACACUCCUUCCCCAAUCCUUACAUUUAGCUAACAAUCACCCUCUCCCUGUUUCACUGAAGAAAAAAGAAAAAGCAUCAGAAGACAAAACUUACACAGUCCCACUACCACAUCGUUAUGAAUUACAAUCAGCUGUAAAUAACAGACACAAACACACACUCAACAAAAGAAAAAUA